Molecule: ribosomal RNA, 391 nt
Filed under: uncultured bacterium
Lineage: Bacteria
Description: partial 16S ribosomal RNA
Rfam family: Bacterial small subunit ribosomal RNA
Source: RNAcentral
AUACGGAGGGUCCGAGCGUUAUCCGGAUUUAUUGGGUUUAAAGGGUGCGCAGGCGGCCAUUUAAGUCAGCGGUUAAAUCGUGGGGCUCAACCCCAUUCUGCCGUUGAUACUGGGUGGCUUGAUUGCGGUCGAGGUUGGCGGAAUUCGUUGUGUAGCGGUGAAAUGCAUAGAUAUGACGAAGAACACCGAUUGCGUAGGCAGCUGACCAGACCGCAAAUGACGCUCAUGCACGAAAGUGCGGGGAUCGAACAGGAUUAGAUACCCUGGUAGUCCGCACAGUAAACGAUGAAUACUUGUUUUCGGCGAUAUAAUGUCGGAGGCAAAGCGAAAGCGAUAAGUAUUCCACCUGGGGAGUACGCCGGCAACGGUGAAACUCAAAUGAAUUGGCGGG